CACCCGCUCCCCGCUGCACCCACACCCUGGCACCUCCCCGCAGACCCUCAUCGGACCCAAGGACAGUCCCAGGAGACGUGGGGGCGCUCGCCCCUUUCGUGGAGGGGAAACUGAGGCAGGCGGGUGAAGGUCGGCUCACAUACGGAGCGCAGGCAUCACCCUAUGUUCCAGUUGAGCCACUGAGGCUCAGGGAGGACAGAGGAGAAGGAUCUUGCCCCAGUCACAGGAGGAAUCACAGGCAGAAAGGGGGAGAUGGAAAGAGAUGAGAAAAGGAGGCACAGAGAGGCUAAAUAACUUGCCUGAGAUGACACAGAAGCAGAGGAGCUGAACGGUGGACCCAGGCAGGCCAGCUCUGCAGCCCCUGCUCUUGGCCACCAUGGGCUCCUCCUCUGGGCUAACCCAGCCAUUGCCAGAAUCCUACAUGGAAAGUAUUAUCAUCCCAUUGACUAGAAGAGGAAACGGAGGCACAGAGGGGCCCCAGGCUGGCAGAAUUAGUAACUGGGGUUGGGGGGAGCUGGGAUUAGACCCAGGUCUGAAAGCCAGCCCUUCCCUCUACCCUUCCUAUUUGCCAAACACCUGGGCCCCAUCCUGCCCAAGGUCAGCAGCCCAGGUGGCAGGAUGUGCUUCUGCCUGGUGCUGGCCUUGGGGAGCACUUGUUUUUCCCUGGAGGAAGCAGCAGGUGUGGCCUUCUUUUUGGAAAUGAUCCUGACUGGGUUGGGGCCAGGACUCCCACACACACACACAUAGGCCAGGAGGACUUAAAUAGGACUAGGUCAGAGCUUCUAGGCUUGGGUGUAGGGGCUGGAAUUUGGGAGAGGGACUCAGAGGUCAGUCCCAUUUUGGUAAGCCUCUCGCCCUCUGGACUCCAUAUCUCCUGCUAAUUGCACUCCUUGGAUGAGACAGUGACAUGGAAGUGCCUCCCAGCUCAGCCCUGGGGAGACCUCUCCAAGGACAGUUAAGGAAGCUGGGGGGAUGUCCCUACCCUUCUUUCUGGAGCAGAGCCCUGGGACCUUCUGGAGUCCCAGUCGGGCUGGGGUCUACAGGCAGUAAGACUCCAAGUGACUUCUCUGUCUGCCCCUCGUGCUGAUAAAAGUUUCCAUUCAAGGAAGAGCUGCCUUAGGGCUGCCAAGUUAUCCUGAUUCUGUCAUUGUAGCAUCAAGGUGGGGGCCUUGGGCCUUCCCAGCCUCUUCAAGGGGGCAUUCUUGGGUGGGAUGUGGUUCCUAACUGGUGUCACCACCUAAAAGGCCAAUAUCCCAAGACCCAGAAUUCCCAAGUUGGACUCAGGGACUGGCGAGACCACCCUGAUUCCUUCUGCCAGGGUCCUUUGAGAGCCGCCCAUCCUGCCCGUGAGUGCUCCUGCUUAGUGAGUCAGACCCUUGCAUUAGGCCCCGGGGGAGGAAGAGAAACAGGCCUCAGAAAACACUUAGAGGGGCAGGGAAGGGCUUGGAAGAAACCUGGCUCAGAAGAUGGUACCCUCCCCUCACAUCUUCCCAGACUUGAAGGGGCAUCUAACUUCUGAGCUCCCCACAGCCCCAGCCUCCUGGCUGUCUCUCCUAGCUGCUGAAAUAAAAGCCAGUCCCUUUUAUCACCUUUGUUAUGUGACCCUGCCUGCUGGUUGGGCCUCAUCGCUUGCCCCUAGUUCUUUGCUUUCAGUGCCACACCAGCCCUCUUGACUGUUCUUGAAUCCAUCAUGAUUCUUUCUACCCCAGGGACCUUGCACUAGCCAGCAUCUUGCUGUGCUUCCUCCCAUCUCACUUGGCUAAUAUGGGAGAGGCAUUUUCUUUACACAUCCAGAGAAAAUAGAGCCUGGUACCUUCCAAGACUGAGAAGGUUGGAAGAAACUUUUUGUACUGUAGCUUGAGGGUGGGAAGGAGAAGACACAAUUUGAGCAUAGGAAGGUGAGCAGGAGGCCGGGCAUGGUGGCUUACGCCUGCAAUCCCAAUGUUAGAAAUGCUUGUUCCCCAUGCUGCAAAGAAAUAGCACUCAAACAUAAAUUUAAUUUUCUCAGCAAGGCAAUUUUUACUUUCUGCAGAAAGCGUGCUCCUCACAGAUGGAACAAUGGUGAGAGCACACUUGAACAAGGGAGGGGAAGGGGUUCUUAUGCCUGACCCAGGUAAUCCCUGCUGCUGUGUUGUUUCCCUAUUGGCUAGGGUUGGACCGCACAGUCUAAGCUAAUUCUGAUUGGUUGUUUUAAAGAGAGCAGGUGUAUGAGCCAGAGUGGCGAGGUGAGUAGUUUGGCAGGAAGGACAGUUAGGAACAGGUAACUAAAGGUGACUUACAUCACAGCAGGUGACGAGGGGUGACUCAGGUCAAAGCAGGUGACCAAGAUGAGUCAGGAUGGAGCAAGUGGCCAGGGGAACAGGUGUGAACUACUGAAUAAAACUGGUGGAAAAGGUUGUUUACUGAAAUUAGAAGUAAGGGGGCAAAGAGAACCAGGAAGUUAAACUUUAAAAUGGAGAAUCAAAGAAUAAGAGAGCUGAACAUACUGACAUACUGAUUCUUUGAAGAGAAACUUGGGGUUCACUAUAUUUAACACAAGCACUUUGGGAGGUUGAGGCAGGUGGAUCACUGGAGGUCAGGAGUUCGAGACCAGCCUGGCCAACAUGGUGAAACCCCGUCUCUACUAAAAAUACGAAAUUUAGCUAGGUGUGGUGGCAGGUGCCUACAAUCCUAAAUACUUGAGAGGCUGAGGCAAGAGAAUUGCUUGAACUUGGGAAGCAGAGGUUUCAGUGAGCUGGGAUUGUGCCACUGCAUGCCAGCCUGGGUGGCAUAGAGCCUGGGUCACAUAUAGCCUGGGUCACAGAGAGACUGUCUCAAAAAAAAAAAACAAAAAGGUGAGCUGGAAAUAGGCUCAGGCUCAUGAGCAGUUUAUCUUCUGGAAUAAAGUCAUUUGCCUUUUUAGAGGCUCUGUCUUCCUCCAUUUCUGCCAGAAACCAGACCUCUGAGGGCCCCUUCCCCUCCUGCCAUCCUCAGGAUCUGAAGCCCUGGUCCUCCCUCACUUCCUGUCCAGCACUGGAACCCCAUGGGACAGCGAGUGUGUGACAGCUCCUGCAGGAAGCUGGUCAGACGAGGAGAGUGCUGGGUUAAAGGGGAUAAAUUUGAAAGGUAUCCAGGGACCUGAUCAGGGAGGACCCUGAGUCGCAAGGAGAGAAGUUUCGAUUACUUCCUCCAGUCACCAUGGAGCUUGGAGGGUUUGGGGGCAGCUGCCUUGGAAGGGCUGAAAAGAGGUGGACGGCACUGGUGAAACGCAUCCCUUCCCCCUCCCUCUACCCACCAGCCACAGAAGAAGGACUCUCCAGCUCUUGG
Symphalangus syndactylus (siamang) is the source of this 3306-nucleotide long non-coding RNA. RefSeq lists it as uncharacterized. The record is from RefSeq and is a predicted model, not a curated record. Lineage: Eukaryota; Metazoa; Chordata; Mammalia; Primates; Hylobatidae.